This 486-nucleotide ribosomal RNA is filed under the name Bacillus subtilis. RNAcentral describes it as "bacterial SSU rRNA". It matches the Rfam family "Bacterial small subunit ribosomal RNA", at positions 394 to 870 of the family's 1533-position model. Lineage: Bacteria; Bacillati; Bacillota; Bacilli; Caryophanales; Bacillaceae. The record is from RNAcentral.
ACGCCGCGUGAGUGAUGAAGGUUUUCGGAUCGUAAAGCUCUGUUGUUAGGGAAGAACAAGUACCGUUCGAAUAGGGCGGUACCUUGACGGUACCUAACCAGAAAGCCACGGCUAACUACGUGCCAGCAGCCGCGGUAAUACGUAGGUGGCAAGCGUUGUCCGGAAUUAUUGGGCGUAAAGGGCUCGCAGGCGGUUUCUUAAGUCUGAUGUGAAAGCCCCCGGCUCAACCGGGGAGGGUCAUUGGAAACUGGGGAACUUGAGUGCAGAAGAGGAGAGUGGAAUUCCACGUGUAGCGGUGAAAUGCGUAGAGAUGUGGAGGAACACCAGUGGCGAAGGCGACUCUCUGGUCUGUAACUGACGCUGAGGAGCGAAAGCGUGGGGAGCGAACAGGAUUAGAUACCCUGGUAGUCCACGCCGUAAACGAUGAGUGCUAAGUGUUAGGGGGUUUCCGCCCCUUAGUGCUGCAGCUAACGCAUUAAGCACUCC